GAUGAACGCUGGCGGCGUGCCUAACACAUGCAAGUCGAACGGAAGGGCCCUGCUUUUGCGGGGUGCUCGAGUGGCGAACGGGUGAGAAACACGUGAGUAUCCCGCCCUUGACUUUGUGAUAACUUCAGGAAACUGGGGCUAAUACAGGAGAGGAGCUCCUGCAGCAUGGUGGGGGUUGGAAAGUUUCGGCGGUGGGGGAUGGACUCGCGGCUUAUCAGCUUGUUGGUGGAGUAGUGGCAUACCAAGUCUUCGACGGAUAGCCGGCCUGAGAGGGUGGCCAGCGACAUUGGGACUACGGUACGGACCAGUCGCGUACGGGAGGCAACGGGCGAAAGUCUUGCACAGCGAUGGCGAGCGUGUUACGACGGCGCCGCGAGCGUAAUGACGGCCUACGGGUUAUGAACCGCUUUCUCCUGAGACGAAGCGUGAGUGACGGUAAUGAGUAAAGAAGCACCGGCUAACUACGUG
RNAcentral lists this ribosomal RNA (468 nucleotides) under uncultured bacterium. Its description in RNAcentral is "partial 16S ribosomal RNA". It matches the Rfam family "Bacterial small subunit ribosomal RNA", at positions 28 to 507 of the family's 1533-position model. The record is from RNAcentral.